This 4467-nucleotide long non-coding RNA is filed under the name Sus scrofa (pig). RNAcentral describes it as "lncRNA (ENSSSCG00060030562.1)". Lineage: Eukaryota; Metazoa; Chordata; Mammalia; Artiodactyla; Suidae. The record is from RNAcentral.
GGGAUUUGCAACGAUGCAGAAGCUGUUUCUGUCCCGCCAGAAAGGGCACAGCUGGCACUGGACAUUACACGGGUGCUUUUCUAGCCAUUAUGGGAAGGGGCGGGGAUUCCAUAUGUGUGGGUGACAAGCUUGCGGACAUGUCAUGAUACCACCGUUUAUCACUAAGAGCGACAGCAAAUAGCAGAAUGUGUCUGGCGGUCGCUGUUUGGGGUCCUGCAGCAGAGUGAGCACAGGUACUGUAUACAAUUGGCUCUUUCAGCCUUGCCAGUGACCCGGUGACACUUCGGCGCUUUCAUGAUGCCCAUCUUACAGGCAAGGACAUGAAGGAGUGAAAGAGACUAAGUCACCUGCCAAGUGGCGGGUCUAGCCAAGGCCACGGCCACCCCACCGUCUUGCCCACUAGACACUCUUCCUUCUGAUCUGCUUCGAGGAUUCACCCGAGGGUCUGUGCUCAGCAGACUGUCUGCGUGGUACUGCAGGUGGCUGCUGCCAGACGGGGCGGCUCAGGAUUCCUGUUUAUAACACCGCUGAACCCAAGAGCAUCUUCUCCCGUGAGUCGGAGGGGGACCCCGCCUCUGCUUGAACCGCUGACACAAGCCAUCUUCACGUCCAGUUCAGUGGCGCCCUACACACUCACACCGCUGUGCAGCCGCCCCACUCUCACUGGCACGUCCCGCUCGGAAACUCAGUCCCGGUUAAACGCCACCGUCCUGCUCUCCCGGCCCCCGGGCCCCACCCCCCGUCUCUGUGCACCUGGCUGCUUUUGGCACCUCAGGUCUUGGAAAUCCUGGUAUAUUUUCUCAUGCAACACAUUUCAACACACACCCCAAUACUUGGCAGCACCCAUGGCAGCACCUCCCUCCUUGGGCAGCCUCCGUCCACGGGCAGCACCCCCUCCACCUGGCUCACUGCACUCAUGCCUGCUGGCCAUUGGUUUUCAUCCUUGAAAUUGCUACGUUCUCUCCGGGCUGAGGUCCUUCAUGCACAGAGCAACCUCUGCCCGGCAAGCCCCUCUCCCCGCACACACCAGCCUCGUCACCACCUCCUGCUCUUUCCUCCCACCGCCCUCAACAUAACUGACGAUUACAAGUGGACUUGUUUACUGAAGACCCAAAGGACAGGAAGCAGAGCACCCGUUAAUACACAGUUCACCAGACUGGAUAAAAACACAACCGAGCUAUAGGCUGUUCACAAGAGACACAGCUAAAAUACAAGGAAGAUCUAGCAAGUUCAAGAGGAAAGGAUUCAAAGAGCGCAUGCAAACACUAACCAAGAGAAAGCUAGUACUGCUCUAUUAAUAUUAGAUACUGUGUUUUAGGAUGAAAGCAGAAUCAGAACUAUCGUAGUUCAUAAUGAAAAGUUUAACAUACCAGAAAGAUGCAGUAAUUCUUUAUAUGCCCAAAGUAUAAAGCAGGUCAGACGAUUUAAGAUGGCAGAGUCGAAGGACCAGAGCUCACCUUCUGUCAUAAAAGCAACAAAAUUACAACCAACUGCUGAACAACCUUCAACAAAACAGUCUGGAAACCAUCCAAAAAGAUGUCCUACUCCAGAAGACAAAGAGGAGGCCACACUGAGAUGGACACUGUCACAGGAUGAGAAGGGAGACAGCCAAGGUGUCUUCAGGCUAAAAUACAAUACAAAGCUGGAGAUGAGGUGCGGUCUUGAGUGGAGAAAAUACAGGUCAGUUACUAAUACUGACCCUAUAAGCAGCUCCAGUCUGUUAUCAGAACGUCAGGCUCUUCCUAGAAGCUCCACGCUGACUUGCAGGCUCCACCCGGAAGCCACGGCCGCCCGGCUUCUGUUUCUCUGGGGAAUUGUGACGAAUCCAGGGACAUGAAGACAGCGGUGCUUCUGCAUCCGGACAGCUCUCACUCCUGGUGCGAAGCCUGCGGAGACAGGACUCGGGAGACCCGGCCCCGGGAGAUCAUUACUCUGGCGCUGGGGGCCUCCACCUGGACCCUCUGCUUCAGCUCGGCCCCAGAUCAUGGUCAAGGGCAGAGCCGAGAUGUCUGCCUCCUAGAACCAGGCCCUGGGAACCUGUGGGACAGACGUAGGCAGGACAGCUUCCUGCUGGUGCUUGUGGAGCUUACAGGUGGACCUUGGCUUCAGAGGAGACUGCACCUUGGAAGAGAUUAAGUAUUUAGAAUCAAAGCCGUUGCUUCAGAAAACAAUUCUCCAAAACCUUCCAGGGGACAGCCCCCUGCCGAGUUGCAUUGCGUCUGACACUCACCUGCAGUAUCAGAUUGGCUGGUGGUACGUGUGUCCUUAAUUCUCUUUCCGGGGACGCGUGGUCCCGAGUCUUCAACAGGUGAAGGGCAAAACCAGGAGGGCCUGAUGAAGCUGCGGGCAGCAAGGUCACAGUGUAGGACCACAGUCUUAGACCUGUGGGGGUGGCCCGUUUGUUCUGUCGCUUGAACUGCCUUUGGCCAUUCCCUGGGCCCUGCUCUGGGUCCCCUCUCUUCCAGGGUGCAGCUGGUCUCCCUCCCUCCCCGCCUGUCGGCCCAGGGAUGGUGCCGCAGGGAUGGUUGGGAGGUGAGGGGAGCGGAGGACACGUGCUGUGAGGCAGGGUCACAGUUCUCCUUGGCCACCAGCCUCGGGAGCGCCAGCUGAGCCAGUGCCCCUCCCUUGACAGCCCCCCUCCCUCUCUGGUACCCCCAGUCUCCCGCCCCCAUGAGAACCUUCAGGAUGCCGAGCCGCAGAGCCCCACCUCCGCCUGGCCCGGGUGGCUGGUCCAGCUCCCUCUGGCCUCGAUUUCUGUUUCACGGGAGCCAGACAGCUCUCAACCCCUUUCUGUGACUGUGUUUCCGAUUCCGUGGCUCUCCCAGCUCCGUGGAGCUGAGGAUGCUGCGGGGGAGAGCUGCCAGGUGAGAGAGGUGACAGCCACCUUCACCGAACAGCUCCGUCCACACGGUCUGCCCCCUCCCCGGGGUCUCCCGAAGUGUCCUUCCAGCCCAUCCGGCAGCCGCUAGAGAGCAGACCAGCGGCCCCCUGCCUCCGAGGACCUGCCCGCUCAGACCCAGGUCCGGACGCAGAACCGACCGCCUUCAGCCCCUCGUGAUGGGACCAGUGCGCUCAUGAGACGACACCCCGGAGUCCUCCCCGCCCUGCGGUGGGCCGAGGACACGGGGAAGGUGGCGGCCGCAAGCCAGGAAGAGGUGCCCCACGGCAAUCCGGCCACGCGGGCACCCUGUUCGUGGACUUGAGGCCUUUGGAGCCGUGAGAACACACAUCUCUGCUGUUUAAACCCUGACACUCUGGUCCUUGCUUAGGGCAGCUGAGCCGACUGAGCCGGGACAAAGGCUGCGAAGGCCCUCGGUCCCGAAGGAGGGAAGGGACGGGCGGCAUCCAGGCUGCGGGCACCUGACCGUCAUCCCCAGGGACCCGGCCACUCGGGUUCUGACCGGCCCGUGGGUGUGUCAGAAAACAAAUACUUUUUAUCCCUCAGGGGAAAUUCUUGACUAACUUUAGACUUCGAUAGAUUAAGUUUUCAUAUUGUAAUUCUUAAGAGUAAUGACCCGUUAAAGUUUUUCCAAUGGCAACAACACACAAGUGUCAGAAUAAAGGAAAAAGUCCUAUUUGCGAACGAGGUCUACAUAAAGGAGAAGAAUACAGACGGUUGAGAGGAAGAGGACGGGAGAAGGUACCGCGAGAUGGGAACAGAGAGCUGCUGGCGCAUGACUAAUACUAGUAACGUGAAUAUUAACAAGUCAAUCAAAUAUUUAAUAAGUUAACUUUAAAUUAAAAUAAUAUUUACCUGUAGUAAAUAUUAAGUCACAUUAAUAUUAAACAAAUAUUUUGUUUAAGAAGAGAUCUAAGGCAAAGAAGCUCUUAUCAUAGUGACAGAUACUCAUUCACGAGAACGAUGUAAAAUUUUGGUUAAAAGCACAGAUUUCAGAGCCUGUUCCAGUCCCAGUUCGGCUACCACCUGUAUGUGUAAUUUUCAGCAAAUUCCUAGUCUCUGACUUUUUUAGUUUCCACGUGCACGAUGAAUACUAAAGAAACUUCUUCGUAGGGUGGUUGAGAGGCGAACCGAGCUGCGUGUAUUUCAAUUAGAACAAUGCCCGCCAUGUGUGUACAUAGUAGGCAUUACACACAGAGGGCGUGAGAUCACAAACGCUAGAGACGUGCAUCAGAAUAUGGGAAGGAAAGUUAAAUACAACCAUAGAAAUCAAUAGAUACCAGUCCAAACGCUUAGUGGAGUAUUUUAAACACGUCCUCUUCGUGAUUAAAAAAAAAAAUCAGUAACAACAUAGAAAAGCUGACAGUACAAAACCUUAAAGUAGUGGACAGAUAGAAAACACUGCAUCUACUUCCUUCCUGCAUGUAAUUUCCCAAAAUGUGCCCUAUGCCGAGUCUCGAAGUCAGUCUCGUCAGAUUUCAUACCCAGCCUGUGCGAAAUCAUGAGAAGCCUGUUCUAGAACUACAAAGAAAUGCAAUAAAGCUAGGAAUCAAAAACCAACCAAAAAA